Molecule: ribosomal RNA, 402 nt
Filed under: Fusobacteriota bacterium
Lineage: Bacteria; Fusobacteriati; Fusobacteriota
Description: Fusobacteria bacterium partial 16S ribosomal RNA
Rfam family: Bacterial small subunit ribosomal RNA
Source: RNAcentral
UGGGGAAUAUUGCACAAUGGAGGGAACUCUGAUGCAGCGACGCCGCGUGAACGAAGAAGGCUUUCGAGUCGUAAAGUUCUUUUAUAUGGGAAGAUAAUGACGGUACCAUAAGAAAAAGCCCCGGCUAACUACGUGCCAGAGCCGCGGUAAUACGUAGGGGGCUAGCGUUGUCCGGAAUCACUGGGCGUAAAGGGUUCGCAGGCGGAAAUGCAAGUCAGGUGUAAAAGGCAGUAGCUUAACUACUGUAAGCAUUUGAAACUGCAUAUCUUGAGAAGAGUAGAGGUAAGUGGAAUUUUUAGUGUAGCGGUGAAAUGCGUAGAUAUUAAAAAGAAUACCGGUGGCGAAGGCGACUUACUGGGCUCAUUCUGACGCUGAGGAACGAAAGCGUGGGUAGCAAACAGG